AAACUAUCCCUUUCAGCACAAAUCUGCCUGGAGCUGUUUCCUGAACACAGGACCAAAAGGCAGGAAUCAAAAGUAGUAAUGAGUUUAGUUAUCUGUCUGUUACUGAAGGUGACUUCUAGGGCAUCCUCCUGGCAUUGCUUCUGGAAUACAGUGACUUAGACUUAUUCGGAAGAACAUCUCUAUGCUGUUCAUCACAUCGCCAGCACCUAGCCCUGUGCCUGUGCAUAGUAAAUGCUCAGAAAAGAAAAAACAACAAAGUUUCCAGCUCUUACUCUAGAUUGACACUGGACCUUGGAGAUGCUUGCAGGUAAUUUGACUGCACCUACUUUCCUUUUUUGGUUAAUUGUGUUAAAUGUGCCUCAUAACUUACAUUCCCGGUGAGGCUGUCAUUUAGAAGGGGUGGGUGGGGGCUGAGGGGAAGCUGUUUUAAUUCUGGCUUUUGUUUCAGCCACUAAAUGUAAUGCCACAUGAUUGUUGACCCAACAAUAAUCCAGUUAAAAAACAGUCUUCAGAGUUACUACAUCAUCAGAAUUAACCCUGAUUACAUCAAAUUAUGUUGAAACAGACCACAGCUGUUUGCCCUGUUGAAGCAACUGCUUGAGAGCUCCUCCGGAAGAUACAUCUGGGUGUCACUAAGAUACAUUUUGGGUUUAGUUUUGUUUCUCAACACAAAUGUAGGAGGGAAACAAACCCUGUUCUGCUGGGGUGCCUGGUGGGAGCUGAAAACCUUGUGAUUCUCCAGCAGUCAAAAGUCAUCUCAAUUACCAAAGAGAAGGGAACCUGAGAUCUUUUGUUUCAGUUUUCUAUAGGAAGGAUGUAAGAGGAAGGAAAUUCAAAUCUGUUGAGUAUUGCUCUUGCCAGCAAAAAGAAGUGGAACUGACUAGUGAGAUGGUGGUGAGAUUUUCUUUGGUGGCUGUGUGCAGUGGUAUCAACCCAGGAGAGUAGACUGUUCAAUUGUGAAGAAUUUUGCAAGAUGGUUGUUAAAGUAGAACAUCGUUAAAAUUAAGUUGUAAUAAAAAAAGGGAAAUAAGCAUUGGAAAAGAUGUGGACAGAUUGGAACCCUCAUACAUUGCUGAUGGGAAUGUAAAAUGGUGUAGCCACUGUGGAAAAAAGGUCAGCAGUUCCUUAAAAAGUUAAACAGUGUCACCAUAUGACUCAGCAUUUUCACUCCUAGAUAAAUACGUAGAUUGAAAACGUAUGUCCACACAAAAACUUGUACAGGAAUGAUCGCAACAGCAUUAUUCAUAAUAGCCAAAAAGUGGAAACAACUGUAAUGUUCAUCAGCUGAUGAAUGGAUAAAAUGCGGUAUAUAAAGAACUGUCAAGUGCUUCAACAUGGAUGAAACUUGAAAACAUUAUACAAAGCGAAAGAGGUUAGACACACAGGUCACAUAUUGUAUGAAUAUGGUUAUGUGAAAUGUCUAGAAUUGGCAAAUCCAUAGAGAUGAAAAGUAGGUUAGCGGUUGCCAGCUGAUGGGAUUGGGGGAAUGGAGAGUUGCUAAUGGAUAUGGUGUUUCUUUUGGGGUAAUGAAAAUGUUCUGGAAUUAGAUAGCUGUGGUGGUUGUCAAAGUUGAUGAAUAUAUUAGAAACCAUGAAUUAUAAACUUUAACAUGGUGACUUUUGUGAUACGUGAAUAUCUUAAUUAAAAAUUAAGUUAUAUAAACUUAUAAUUAAAUAAGUUAUAUUAAAAAGAAAGGUAGUAACUACCCCAAACUCAUCACUUGGCUAAUUACAUUUUACUAUUGUGUUCUUGGUGUUAUUUAUGUCUAUUGUGUCUUUAUGUUGGAAAUACUAAAUAAUGGUGUAUUACUGUGUAUCUCUUAACUCUGUAUUCAAGGACAUUAACUUGAUAGCUUAAAACUGGCCAUGGCUGGCAGAGUAUUUAUGCCACAACAGUUGGCAUAUACUGUAAAUCAAGGCACCCACCAACACCACCAGGGAGCCAAUUUUAAAAUAUUUGCCAGCACAUCAUUGGCUAUAUUGUCGGACAAUCAUCUUGGGUAAUUCUGGUAGAAUUAUAUAGUUAGAUGAGGUGAAAUCCUGAGGCCUCUAGGUUCCCAGCAAAACAAAGACUAGCAAGCCUGCACAGUUACUAUGCAAUUUAUCAGGUGCAGAAGGAAAUGACGUUUCUGGUCAUCUGUUGAAUAAAGCCACUUUGAGUUCAGGGGACAUGGUUUUCUCCAGCUUCACUAGUGUUGCAUCUGGUACAAGGGGUUAAGUGCUAAACCCCUGUAGGAUUGUCACAGUGAAGCCAGAUAACAGAGUAACCGCAAAGAGAUUUAAUUCUGUAGUCCCACAAAGGAGGGUGUGUAAAGAGUGUACAACAGUGUCAGAGUUUGGAAACCAAGGGUUGACAAAGUUGGUUCUCUGGAAUCUGGGGGUACCAGUUAAAAGGUUAAAAGGAGUCAUUGUUUUCUGAAACUAUCCAAGAGUUACAGCCAUGUUUUUUUGUUUUUGUUUUUGUUUUUAAGAUUUCGGGGGAA
RNAcentral lists this long non-coding RNA (2482 nucleotides) under Homo sapiens (human). RNAcentral's name for it is "HSALNT0364008". The record is from RNAcentral. Lineage: Eukaryota; Metazoa; Chordata; Mammalia; Primates; Hominidae.